RNAcentral lists this ribosomal RNA (478 nucleotides) under uncultured bacterium. RNAcentral describes it as "partial 16S ribosomal RNA". It matches the Rfam family "Bacterial small subunit ribosomal RNA", at positions 28 to 523 of the family's 1533-position model. The record is from RNAcentral.
GACGAACGCUGGCGGCGUGCUUAACACAUGCAAGUCGAACGGUAAGGCCCUUCGGGGUACACGAGUGGCGAACGGGUGAGUAACACGUGGGUGAUCUGCCCUGCACUUCGGGAUAAGCCUGGGAAACUGGGUCUAAUACCGGAUAGGACCACUGCCUGCAUGGGUGGUGGUGGAAAGCUUUUGCGGUGUGGGAUGGGCCCGCGGCCUCUCGGCUUGUUGGUGGGGUGAUGGCCUACCAAGGCGACGACGGGUAGCCGGCCUGAGAGGGUGACCUGCCAGACGGGGACUGAGGUACGGCCCAGACUCCUACGGGAGGCAGCAGUGGGGAAUAUUGCACAAUGGGCGCAAGCCUGAUGCAGCGACGCCGCGUGAGGGAUGACGGCCUUCGGGUUGUAAACCUCUUUCAGCACCGACGAAGCGCAAGUGACGGUAGGUGCAGAAGAAGGACCGGCCAACUACGUGCCAGCCGCCGCAGUAA